CGGGUGAGUAACACGUGGGUAACCUGCCUUCAGCUCUGGGAUAAGCCCGGGAAACUGGGUCUAAUACCGGAUAUGACGCAUCACCGCAUGGUGUGUGUGUGGAAAGUUUUUCGGCUGAAGAUGGACUCGCGGCCUAUCAGCUUGUUGGUGGGGUAGUGGCCUACCAAGGCGAUGACGGGUAGCCGGCCUGAGAGGGCGACCGGCCACACUGGGACUGAGACACAAUAACAAACUUAUACGGGAGGCAGCAGUGGGGAAUAUUGCGCAAUGGGCGAAAGCCUGACGCAGCAACGCCGCGUGAGGGAUGACGGCCUUCGGGUUGUAUACCUCUUUCAGCGCUGACGAAGCUUUCGGGUGACGGUAGGCGCAGAAGAAGCACCGGCUAACUACGUGCCAGCAGCCGCGGUAAUACGUAGGGUGCGAGCGUUGUCCGGAAUUAUUGGGCGUAAAGGGCUCGUAGGCGGUUUGUCACGUCUGCUGUGAAAGCCCGGGGCUUAACCCCGGGUCUGCAGUGGAUACGGGCAGGCUAGAGUUCGGCAGGGGAGACUGGAAUUCCUGGUGUAGCGGUGGAAUGCGCAGAUAUCAGGAGGAACACCGGUGGCGAAGGCGGGUCUCUGGGCCGAUACUGACGCUGAGGAGCGAAAGCGUGGGGAGCGAACAGGAUUAGAUACCCUGGCUAGUCCACGCCGUAACGUUGGGCGCUAGGUGUGGGUUCCCUUCCACGGGGUCCGUGCCGUAGCUAACGCAUUAAGCGCCCGGCUGGGGAGUACGGACGCAGGCUAAAACUCAAGGAUUGACGGGGCCCGCA
Molecule: ribosomal RNA, 808 nt
Filed under: Jiangella gansuensis
Lineage: Bacteria; Bacillati; Actinomycetota; Actinomycetes; Jiangellales; Jiangellaceae
Description: bacterial SSU rRNA
Rfam family: Bacterial small subunit ribosomal RNA
Source: RNAcentral